CCAGUCGCGGGAGGUGGGUGGGGGCGGAAUUCCGCCCUGCCCGAGCGCGCGGAGGGCGGGGCGCAUCGGGGGUGGGGGGUGCUGCGGGGUGUCUGGCCUGGGUAAGACGGGUUCCCGUAAGACCGCUCGCUGUGAGGGCGGGGUGCCCUCCCUCAUGGGGUCGGGCGCGGGUGGGCCCACGCCGCUGCCGGGGUCACAUCGUCCUGGGAGCCUCGCCCAGCGACCCGGGUCCACCUUCCCCCGCCUCCUGGGUCCCUAGAGCGCCCUGCUCACCACCUCGACGGUCUGCGCGCUCAGACCUUUUGGGGGUCCUGACCAGCCCACAGGGCCCAGAAGGCAGCGGGGCCCCUGAGAUGAGGAUUUGGAUCAAGGUGUCCUGUUCAGUUUGUACCCAGAGGCUCAGCUGUCUCCUCUUCCUCAGGGCCCAAAAGCCACCGAGGGAGAAAACAGUCCAAAGACGGUUCAGUUGGAGCAGCAUGAAAACAUGUUGGAAAGUCUUGUGCAGAACUGUUAGCUAUUUUCGGGGAGAGAAGCCAUGUCACUGCUUCUUAUCGCAUCGCCUCCACGAGAGCUGGCGCUCUGUGCCUGCUCCCAGAGCCCUGGGCCUGCCUUGACUGAGGUGGGGUUAGGUGUUUCACAGUUUUGUAGUAUGCUUUCAAGCAUGAAGAACCUGAUUUUUGUUAAUGUGUGGCAAGGUCAGCACUGCCAGAUUAAGAAUGAGUGUCAGCAGAUUUUUUGGAAGUCGUUGAGAAGUGUAUUUUUUGUAUAUUACGUGUUAUUUCUAGAUUCAUUUGCGAGUCAUACUUAAUACUCUGCCUGGCUCUGCCCUGUCUCGUGUUUCCAGAUUAAACACAAUGUGCAGCCUUCAGUUCCUGGCCAGUUCCACGUUCCCGGAAAUGAAAGGAAGGCAGCAGAUUCAGAGUUUACUAGGAAGGAGGUGGGCGUGGCUGGGGGGCCUGCUGUGAGCAUGGGGCAGGGCCUAGCUUGUGACCUUUGCCUUCUGAGCCAGCCCUCAGGCCUGGAAGCUGUAACUGACACUCUGCCUGACGCUGUUGACCAUGCCUGGUGUAGCUGGGCUCAGUUCAGAUCAUGAGUUCCCUAAAAUCAGAUGAGGGCCCAGUCGGCCACUCCUACUUGUGGAUGACAAAGCUCAUACCAAGAGGAAUCAUCAACCCAAGGCAGCAUGGGCUGGCAGUAGGGGGGAUGGGCGGCAUGGCCCUCAGGGCGUGGAGGUCUGGGAAGACCCAGUGAGCUGCUUGCCUCCAGUGAGAGGUUAGCCUUUCCCUUUAGAGGGGCAGCAUCUGCACCUUCUCUGGGUGGCCAUGAAAGGCUGGGGGGUCUGCCUGGCCCGGUCCUAUGCCUGCCUGCUGGGAGGCUUGCCAAGGAGAGUCCAUCACAGCCUCUUUGGGGACUCGGCCUGCUCUCAGAAGGCCCUAAGACUGUGCUGGAGCAGGCAAAUGCUGUCUGCCUUAAAUGUCCGGUAAGAAAUGCUGACCCCUCGACUGGGUGGGGCGGGCCCACUUACCAGCUUCCUUCUCCGUGGAGUUGGCCUUCUGAUGAAGAGCAUGGAGCCUUCCCUGUCCUUGUGCCCUCCUUUGCCAUGGGUUCUGUGAUCUCAUGACCCUGAAGACGUCCCUGAGCUUCUCCACGGCCUGUGCAGACUUCAGCCACACCCUGGUGCGCUCUCCCAGCCUGUGGGGACACUCAGGUUGACAUCUGAGCGUGUGUCCUGUGGGCUGCCCCCCUCCUGUCCUCCCUCCUCAGCUGCCACAGUUGCCAUUCUCCUGGUCCACAUCACCAUUCCCUUCCCCCGUGCCCUUUCCUGUCUGUGCAGCCAUGUCCACAGGCUCGGAGGCAGAGCCACAGCUCAGCCUGUUCCCAUGUUGGCCCUCUGUCCCCAGGUAGGGCCCCUUGAGAACAGGAUUGCUUUUUACUUCUGUCCCAUGGCACCUGACUUGCACUUUGCCCUGGACAAUCCACCCCACAUGGUGAUCUGGGCAAAUCAGUGCGGAGAUGGACCACGUUCCACAUUGAACCAGCCUCCAGUGAACCGGCCCACCGCUCCUGCCAGGAGAGGCGACUUGCUGUAGUCUCUACCAGUCAGGACUCUAUGGCAGAGACGGGACUGGCUGCGGAUGGUUCCCUCUGGCCAGGAAAGUAGAAGGAGGAAGGUGUCACCAAGGUCUUCCAGGUGGCUCUCCCCAUUGGUCCCCAGUCCCUAUGGGCAACACUUGCACACCUCCUUCCCUCUCAGACAGGAAAGUGGAGAUUUGUCUGCCCCCAUCUCCCCCAAAACCCUAGCCUGUCUGCUCCUGGUGUUCAUCCGUGUGUCUGCUGCCACUAGAGAGAGGGCCCUCCAGGGACAGGGCUGGACAUGCAGACUAUAGAUCAAUGGACAGACCAGCUGUGAAAUGGUAGAUGUGUCCUAAAUAAAAGGAAUGACUUGCAAUAUCGGAGGACUUUGUAUCCGGAGAGCUAACCUGACCUUUGUAAAGAUGGCAUCUCAGGGCUGGAGGUCACUUCUGUCUGCAGACACCUGUGGCGUCACACCUCAGGAAUGGGGCUGGGCAGAGCUCUCUCUGCUGGCUCGGGGCUAGCCUGUCUCCCAAGGACCCAGUAAGCUGGUCCCAGCACAGCGUGGGAGAGCAGUGGCGUCCUGAUGCCCAUCUCAGGCUGAAGCACCAUGCGGCUGUUCACAGGGUUUUGUGGGACUGGUCAUCUUGGCCAGCUCCCCUACCCACGUCUGUGUACCUGGGAGUCUUUGGGCUUUUUAGUGCAUAUGGGUCUAUGACAAACUUCACCCUCGCACCACAAACUCCAUUUCCGCCCUGGGGUUACGAGAAGUAGCAGUAGAAGCAGAACCGCCCAGCGCUCCUGACCCAUGCGCCCAGCGCUCCUGACCCAUGCUGGUCUCCUGGCUCUAGGCUGUCUGCUGCUCACAGCCUGCCCAGCCCAAAAUGAUGCUGUGUGGCGGGGGAGGAAGCCCUGUGGCUGGGAAGCUGAGACUGGGAGGCAGGGCCCACUGACAGUCCAGCCCCUGGGGUUUGAAGAACACUGGUGUGGGACACCCUCCCUGGAGUGAUGGACAAGACUUCACCCCUUGGACGACGACUCCUCCCUGAAAACUGAGGAAGUGAGCUCCAUUGGGGUCCUGGAGUCUGUUCUUUGAGGUAUGUUUCUGGGAAGAGCAUCUAGCAGCUUCCAUCCUAUUCUCCGAGGCCAGGUGGAUUUUGAUGGGGAGAAGUAGGUGGGGAAGGAUCCUGGCUCUUCUGGGGCACAUGUGGUGGCAGACCUGCAGGCUUGGGGAGCCGGGCUCAGGUUGGGGUUACAUUCUUAACCCCGGCUCUCAGAGAGUUGGAGCCUGGAAUUUAAAAUAACCUCUUGCUGUCUCUAUUGACAUUUAGCUUUUUCUCACACUGUGAGUGUGGGCGGCAGACCACAGUGGCAUUGGCGGAACAUGUGGAGGGCGUGGGUGUGUCCUGGCCGGUGGUGGGUGGAGACCUACCCCCUGUGCUCGCCUGCACCUCCCAGUUACAUUGGCUGUCACGUCUGCAGCUGACGCUUAGCGAAGCACAGCUGGGGUCUCUCCUGGUAACGGUCUCUGUCUCUGUCCCUGCGUGUCGCAUGUGUUGCGUUUUGCAUUUGAAAGCCUUCUGAGGGGUGCACAGGCCCCACCACGUGCAUAGGCGUCUGGAUCCAGGAGCUGUGCUCUGCGAGGAGCCUCCGCUGCCCUGAACAGCUGCUCUGGCCGCCGCUCUCCCUGUCCUCCAGGAGCUCACUUACAUCCGGCCGUGAGCUCCUCGAGGCCAGAGCCCGCGUCUGCCUCCGCUCAGCACCAGCGCGACGCCCCCAGCAUGCACACAGGGCCACGCGGCUCCGGUUCGUGGCAGCUUCCAUGGGUUUUCCAAGCAGCUUCCCGAGUUGUCAGUGUGCACAUUUUCUGAAGUUCCUGUUUGAAUCCGGUGCUGCAAACAAAAUGAAACGGGGAAAUUGUCCCAUCCGUGCGGUAGCAGAGGCAUCGCUGUGUGGGUUAACUUGGGCGGAUGUCAUGGUUGGUCCCUACACCUUUUAUAUCACUGGCUCUAUCUGGAGUCUGCUGGGUGUUGCUGUGAGUUUCUGGUCGCUGAAAAGGCCUGUCCUGGUUGCAGCCUUGGCGCUAGUCCCGCAGGCUGUGUCACCGAGGAACCUGUGGAGGGGGCGUGCGGGGGUCUCUUGCCUCUAACAGCUGCAUGUGUGUCUGCUCAUUUCAAAAUAAAACAUGGCAUUGAAAAAUCA
Long non-coding RNA from Lutra lutra (Eurasian river otter), 4275 nucleotides. RefSeq lists it as uncharacterized. NCBI's taxonomy places the organism in Eukaryota, Metazoa, Chordata, Mammalia, Carnivora, Mustelidae. The record is from RefSeq and is a predicted model, not a curated record. The transcript is spliced from 2 exons.